GAUGAACGCUAGCGGCGGGCUUAAUACAUGCAAGUCGAGGGGUAGCAAUACACCGGCGCACGGGUGCGUAACGCGUAUGCAACCUACCUUUAUCUGGGGGAUAGCCCGGGGAAACCCGGAUUAAUACCGCAUAAAGAAAACAGCUUGGCAUCAAGUAGUUUUUAAAGAUUUAUCGGAUAGAGAUGGGCAUGCGUAAGAUU
Molecule: ribosomal RNA, 200 nt
Filed under: uncultured bacterium
Lineage: Bacteria
Description: partial 16S ribosomal RNA
Rfam family: Bacterial small subunit ribosomal RNA
Source: RNAcentral